Long non-coding RNA from Glycine soja, 736 nucleotides. RefSeq lists it as uncharacterized. NCBI's taxonomy places the organism in Eukaryota, Viridiplantae, Streptophyta, Magnoliopsida, Fabales, Fabaceae. The transcript is spliced from 3 exons. The record is from RefSeq and is a predicted model, not a curated record.
UGAUGAUCAAUAAUCAUGAAUUCCUUCCUUUGUAAGCCCAAAAGGAAGCUUUAUUUAGAAUCCCAUCCUUCCCAUCUUAACAAACGGAUGAAUAUAUCUAUCUAACCACUCUAAUUAGCUUAUUAUUAGGUUAUAGUCAUUUCAUAAGUGGGACCAACAGUAAAGAAGCUUAUGAAUUAUGUUUUGUUGUCAUGGAAACUUUUGCUACUUUAUUUUUUUGAGACGCACGACAAUUCCUCAUCGUCAUGGUGAUCAACUCUUGGUCUCAUUAUGUGAGGCUUCUAAGUAUAACUCCAGAAGCACGUAUUCUUCUAGGAUCGAAUCAGCCCAGAAUUUAUGAAGUGUAGAUUCAGGGUUCCACAGAUAUCAUGAUGACAUCGGGGAAAUGUUCAAAGGGAAGGUGCGACGAAUUGAAUGUCGUUGAUAAGUAUAUAAGUGCAAUCCACUAAUGAAGAGCAAUAUAUAGAAUAUGAAUAUGGUUAUGCGGUCGUGGUAUGUAUAUGAUCCAUUAAUUAAUAAUUAUAAUAUGAUACGAUCAGCAGUCACAUCGAAUUAAGGUGAAGGAGGAAGAUGACAUCAGAGUUAUCUGGAGUGCUCUCUUUUUUGAUCAAAUGAGCGGUGGACGCGCCAUGCAGGUCUAUCCUUCUCCUUCACCAUUCAUAAGCCAUUGCAAAUUGAAUAUCACAUUAGUUGAUCCUGAAAUCGUUUCAAAUGAGAUUCAGAUCCCUAUUUUCAA